GACGAGUACAUGUUCCAUAGUUGCGAGUUUUACGUGGUCGGAGCUGUGUAAGAUUGCUGUAUCUGGAACGUAAAAGUACCUGGAAGUUUAACGUAAAAGUAUGUUGAUCGUAGAUUAAGGCAAAUAUAACGGGAAAGCUGGAGAAGUGAACUGUGGCGAACAACGACGAAUAGCAAGAGGAUUAAAGAAGAAGGGAAAAAAAGCGUUUAAUCGCUGAUAAUGAGGAAAUGGUGAGAAGACGAAUUGCAUAAUAAAAAUGUGUAAAUAAAAUAAGGGCGUACGAAAUCUGGAUGUGUGAAAGAUUAAGAAUGGAACAUAAUAGCGAUGUUGAUUUAGUGUAAGAGCUUGCGGAAACAUGGAUUAGUUUUGUGGAAAUUGUAAAAUAUGUAAAAAGAUUGUAGGUUAGAUAUAUGAAAAUUGAAAGAAGUAAGAAGAGAGUGAAAAGAGAGUAUAAAAUGAUAAUAGUUACUACUUAAGAUAAUAUAAUUUUGUGGAUGGUAGAAGAAUGGAUUUAUUUGGGUUUUAGGAGAUUAAAGAAUAAAUAAAAAUACAUUUAGAAAAUA
Molecule: long non-coding RNA, 563 nt
Organism: Bombus terrestris (buff-tailed bumblebee)
Lineage: Eukaryota; Metazoa; Arthropoda; Insecta; Hymenoptera; Apidae
Exons: 2
Source: RefSeq, a predicted model, not a curated record